UACCCCAUACAUACAUCUGCCCCAUGCAUACAUCUGUCACUCUCAACAAAAGCAGUUUUUUUCGUUCAUGUAGAACUAGUUGCUGGUGGCUGAAUGUUUUCGGACGCUCCGUGCCAAAUUAUCCCCAUGAAAUUCGUCGUUAAUCUAGUGCGCUGUAAUCAGUGAAUAGAUGUCUAUUCCUUACCAUGACAAUUCGGACACUUCGGAAAUAUUUUCCUAACUUCAUCAUCCUGCAGGACACUUCCGUAUGCAUAAGCACUGCUCCAGGUGGUAACGAUUCCCAGGUAAUCGCCGUGCUCAGUGGAAGCAGAUUGAACCGAAUUCAUCGGAGAUAUUUAUCUACAUCUACUUCAAGAUUAAUUACAAUGAAGACCUAUAGCCGAAAGCAUUUUCUUUCGGCGUUGAAUUCACUUAUAUCUGCGAUGCGUUUGUUUAGUUAACUACGCAAUUACUUUGAAGUUUAUUCAACUGGCCGCAAUGGGGGAAGGUGUGGGUUCUGAUGCAAUGUUCAUCUAUAGGUUAACCAUACUAAAGAUUGAGAUGACUCCCAGCGAGACGGUCUACAUUGAUGCACUAGAAAGUUUGUUGGAAAUUUGGCUGUACGUGUUGGAUGGCAAAGAGAACUGCCCGGUGGAAGUUAUGAUACCGUUUAUGACGUUUAUAUUUAUAUGAAAAAUAUAACCAGUCUAAUAUUAAAUCUCCGGAUCGCAUACGCGGUAUCGGUCGGGAUUACAAUCCGAUAGAUGAAAAAUGAAGAAUUUUAUAAUUACGUUCUGGAGUGUUUUAAGAAGCAAUUUGUAAUAAUCAGUAACUUAGGGUAAGAUAUUCUGGCAGAAAUGUGUUGAAUUCAAUAAAGAUAAUGCGCACCUCCA
Topomyia yanbarensis is the source of this 872-nucleotide long non-coding RNA. RefSeq lists it as uncharacterized. The record is from RefSeq and is a predicted model, not a curated record. Lineage: Eukaryota; Metazoa; Arthropoda; Insecta; Diptera; Culicidae. The transcript is spliced from 2 exons.